Molecule: ribosomal RNA, 252 nt
Filed under: uncultured bacterium
Lineage: Bacteria
Description: partial 16S ribosomal RNA
Rfam family: Bacterial small subunit ribosomal RNA
Source: RNAcentral
UACGGAGGGUGCAAGCGUUAAUCGGAAUUACUGGGCGUAAAGCGUGCGCAGGCGGUUUGUAAGUCAGUGGUGAAAUACUCCAGCUUAACUGGAGGGGUGCCAUUGAUACUGCGGAGCUUGAGUACAGAUGAGGUAGGCGGAAUUGACGGUGUAGCGGUGAAAUGCAUAGAUAUCGUCAAGAACACCGAUAGCGAAGGCAGCUUACUGGGCUGUAACUGACGCUGAUGCACGAAAGUGUGGGGAUCAAACAGG